CGGCCCAUGUUCACCAGAUGACAGGCGUUCUUGGUCAACUGAAAAGACGGAAUCAAUUUUUUGUAACAUGGUUACUGCAAGGUCAUCAGAACUAUUCAAAGAUUUUGCAAGGCGAUCCAGCACAAAAGGUGAAACAUCAGCUCCUAAAUGCUGUAACUUUUGACGGACAAUACUUACCUACAAAGAAGAAAAGAUAAACACAUUCAAAGAGGGGUUUCUAAGGGAAAUAAAUAAAAACUAUGUUCUAAUUCUCACUGCUAAAGGGAUAUCCUGACACUGAGAUGCAGCUUUAAAUAAUAAGGCGAUUGCAGCUCCAAGUGCUUCACCGUUUAAAUCAUCCACAACAUUAGAGGCUUGAAGAAAUACACUUUUCC
This 374-nucleotide long non-coding RNA is filed under the name Gossypium raimondii (Peruvian cotton). RNAcentral describes it as "long non-coding RNA (GRAI_LNC008018)". Lineage: Eukaryota; Viridiplantae; Streptophyta; Magnoliopsida; Malvales; Malvaceae. The record is from RNAcentral.